GGGUUUCCCUAUGGGUAUAGGGUCAACGACUGUCUUUACAGUCGCUUUCCGUUGGGUCACCCAUCGCCAGGGCACUGAAUCAUUUAACUUUAUUGUAUUUCAUAUCUAAAAUUUUUCCUAAAUUUUUGUUACCAUUAUUUCAAUUAUUUAUGGCUCCUCACUCUAGUCUAAAUAUAGUUCUAGACAUUCUAACUGUCCGGACUGAUACCGGUCACCAGAAUAGUAGAAUGUACGGACUUACUAAAGUGAGGGUGUUACAGUGAUAAUAAUUUUCUAAUAAAUAUAUAGUUGUAACCUAGUUGCUAAAUUUAACGCAUGGUUAUAAUUUAGCUUAAUCAAUUAUAAAUAGAUGUUUUAAGUUUUUAUCAUUCACAAGAGAAAUAGUUUUAUGUAAUAUAUUCAAAGUGUCUCUAGCUUGUAUGAAAAUUUAAAAGUAAAUAAAAGAUCUUGUAGUAUUUUUCCUCCUCCCGUAAUCAACAUAGUGUUGCAUGAAAUUUUUAGACAUUUUGGUUGAAUUUAGGAGCUCUAUUGUAGCAAUACAUUGUUUCUUUUGUGCCUAUGGUAAGGGAACUAAUUAUAUGGUACAUGGAGUGUCUAGAGUGGCAUUAAGAUCAACAUGAUUGUAAGGGUGUGGUGAGUAUUCCCGAGCAACCAAUAUCAGUAUCAUCAUUAUUUGACUUGCAAGAAGUAAUAAAUCUUUCAUUAGCACAACUCCUCUCAACGUGUAUAUAAUUUCAAUUUUUCAUUUAUGAUCUCAAUCAUUUUAAUUAAGAUGCUCUCUCUUUGCAGAUUUUUUGCGUCAUAAAAGAAGCACUGCCAACCCAGGUCUUCAAAGUUUGAUUCGAUUCUUGAAGUCAGUUUCCAAGUUCUAAAGAAUUCAAGUAGCCUUUUUACGUAGUGGUAUCUAAAGUUGGAACAGUUUUAUCUAAGCCUCCUUUGUAAAUGUUUAUUAUAAGUUUAAAAAUCAUAUAACUAAGCUUAAACAUGGACAUGCUCCGUAUACAAUAAUGGACUCCUUGCAAAAGGUCAAUUGUCUUUUUAGCUAUUGUAAAUUGCUAUCAAUCAUGAACAUAUAUCUUACUCUAAACUUGACCCUUUCUCCAACCAAACCAGCAAAUAUAUCCCCAAGUCUAAUUCUAUAAAAAUUCUCCUUCAUACUCAACUCAACUAAGUCUUUA
RNAcentral lists this unclassified non-coding RNA (1178 nucleotides) under Hevea brasiliensis (rubber tree). Lineage: Eukaryota; Viridiplantae; Streptophyta; Magnoliopsida; Malpighiales; Euphorbiaceae. The record is from RNAcentral.